UUUCCGUUUGAUCCCGGCGGAGGCUACUGCUAUUGGGGUUCGAUUAAGCCAUGCAAGUUGAACGAUUCUUCGGAAUCGUGGCGAACGGCUCAGUAACACGUGGAUAACCUACCCUUAGGACCGGUAUAACCCUGGGAAACUGGGGACAAUCCCGGAUAGGUGAUUUUUUCUGUAAUGAUUUUUCAUUUAAAUGCUCCGGCGCCUGAGGAUGGGUCUGCGGCAGAUUAGGUAGUUGGUAGGGUAAUGGCCUACCAAGCCGGUGAUCUGUACGGGUUGUGAGAGCAAGAGCCCGGAGAUGGAACCUGAGACAAGGUUCCAGGCCCUACGGGGCGCAGCAGGCGCGAAACCUCCGCAAUGCGAGAAAUCGCGACGGGGGGACCCCAAGUGCCCUCUUAACGGGGUGGCUUUUCUUGAGUGUAAAAAGCUUUUGGAAUAAGGGCUGGGCAAGACCGGUGCCAGCCGCCGCGGUAACACCGGCAGCUCUAGUGGUAGCCAUUUUUAUUGGGCCUAAAGCGUUCGUAGCCGGUUUGAUAAGUCUCUGGUGAAAUCCUGUAGCUUAACUGUGGGAAUUGCUGGAGAUACUAUUAGACUUGAGGUCGGGAGAGGUUAGCGGUACUCCCAGGGUAGGGGUGAAAUCCUGUAAUCCUGGGAGGACCACCUGUGGCGAAGGCGGCUAACUGGAACGAACCUGACGGUGAGGGACGAAAGCCAGGGGCGCGAACCGGAUUAGAUACCCGGGUAGUCCUGGCCGUAAACG
RNAcentral lists this ribosomal RNA (757 nucleotides) under uncultured archaeon. Its description in RNAcentral is "bacterial SSU rRNA". It matches the Rfam family "Archaeal small subunit ribosomal RNA", at positions 1 to 759 of the family's 1478-position model. The record is from RNAcentral.